This 120-nucleotide ribosomal RNA is filed under the name Endocarpon pusillum Z07020. The record is from RNAcentral. Lineage: Eukaryota; Fungi; Ascomycota; Eurotiomycetes; Verrucariales; Verrucariaceae.
AUAAUUAACUACAGGAUAUAGAAUAUAAGGCUUCUUAUUUACUUAGCUAUACUUAAGCUAUAUACUAGCUAGUUAAUAGUUGGGUAGGUGACCACUAGCGAAUACUAGCUAUUAAUUGUU